This 818-nucleotide non-coding RNA is filed under the name Pan troglodytes (chimpanzee). Lineage: Eukaryota; Metazoa; Chordata; Mammalia; Primates; Hominidae. The record is from RNAcentral.
GGGGCCUGCCGGGAACUGGAGUGCGCCCCGCGGCCUUUUGCGCAGGCGCCGAAGCCACACCGCGAAGUACCGUUUUUUCAGGCACAAGGAAGGUUUCACCCCGUUGCCGAAAGACUAAGCGUCCCGUUGGCCAGUGCAACGAAGAACGGAGGAAGCGACGCAGUGGCCUUGUGUGGGCCUUCAGCUUCCAGUUCCAUGGCCUGGUGGAGGACCCUGUGGUGCAAGCAUUCCUCCAGACCCCCCUGGCCUGGGGCCCAAGACUGGGAAGCCUUUGAAGAUUUCAGUUUGUAAGUAGUGAGAGCAAUGAUCUUGGCUUUGCAUGGUGCUCAGGAAGCCUUCCCCACUCCCAAACCAGAAAGGCAUCCAUCCAGAUUUUCCUCCACUGUCUGGAUGGCGGCUCUGUGGAUGUUUCCAUCUGUAUCCAUUGCCGGCACCUGGUGAGGGAUAUUGCUCAGCCAAAGGGCCAGCAUCCCAGUGAAGAAGAUCAGAAAGAGGCUUCCGAUUCCGUCUCUAGAGCCUUUGAGGUCACUCCUGAUGCUGACAUGGCUGUGAAGAGCUGGGUGCCAGGCAUUACUGCCUCCAAGGUUGCUUUGCGAGGAAUAGGUGGGGCAUCAGGAAGAAGCCAGUUGCAGGCAAGGCCUCUGCUGAUGCUGCUUUUUUCUCCUGUAGCCAUCCAUGGGAGGGAGCUGUGAGAUGGCCUGGCAGAACCCGCUCUCGGACCCCACAGAAUGAGAGGCUCACCCUGCACAGGAACAUCCUGGGGCAGCAGGCUCAGCACAUUUUAAAUUUUGAGUAUGAACAAAGUAAACUUCAGGGUU